GGCUCCGUGGCGCAAUGGAUAGCGCAUUGGACUUCUAGGCAAAGGCGAAGUGAUUCAAAGGUUGUGGGUUCGAGUCCCACCGGAGUCG
This 88-nucleotide transfer RNA is filed under the name Poecilia reticulata (guppy). It matches the Rfam family "tRNA". Rfam says of the family: Transfer RNA (tRNA) molecules are approximately 80 nucleotides in length. RNAcentral also lists the same sequence under 1 other name. Lineage: Eukaryota; Metazoa; Chordata; Actinopteri; Cyprinodontiformes; Poeciliidae. The record is from Rfam by way of RNAcentral.